Molecule: long non-coding RNA, 857 nt
Organism: Rhincodon typus (whale shark)
Lineage: Eukaryota; Metazoa; Chordata; Chondrichthyes; Orectolobiformes; Rhincodontidae
Exons: 2
Source: RefSeq, a predicted model, not a curated record
AUACAUUGAAAUGAACUUUUCUACCAUUAAUCCCCAUAGACUUAUUUUAAACUGAGAGAUUGCAGGAGCUUUAUCUACCUGAUUUUUUAAAUUUAUUCAAUCUCCAUUUACCAAUGAAAAAUGAUCAAUAACAAAGUCAAAACUGUCUGCAUUUGUACCUCCUGUAUUAAAGAGACUUUAUUUUAAACUAAAUAAUGAUUAUUGAUUUUUAUAGUUCAUUAAUGGUGCCAAGGAAAUCUGCUAUGCACUCCGCUCAGAGGGUUACUGGGCAGACUUCAUUGACCCAUCUUCAGGCCUUGCAUACUUUGGACCAUACGCAAAUAAUACACUGUUUGAAACAGAUGAGCGCUACCGACAUCUUGGUUUCCGUAUUGAAGAUCUUGGUUGUUGUAAAGUUAUUCAGCACAAGCUUUGGGGGACACAUGUAUUUGUUGGUAGUCUUUUCACAAAUGCACCUACAGAUUGCUCAGUAAUGAAGAAACUGCAAGGGAGCACCCCACUUUGAUUUCAGCCAUGAUUUUAAUAUUAAAAGGAGGCCGGAAGAUUGGUUAAAAAGCUCCAUUUUAUUGAUGCAUUCUGGUGGCUUGUGUAUAUGUAGUUUGAGAAGAAGGCUGUAAGAUGUUGAAUAUAUCAUGAUAUUUAUUUUAGUUUACUUCAAAUGAUGUUGUAAAAGACUGAUGAUGAAAAGUGUCACUGGGGUAUGUGCCCAAUGUAAUGGAAAUGUCGCUAAAGAAAUCUAAUCAGUGAUGCUUCAGAACUGUUUACUGAUGACAUUUGGUUCAUGUUCUAUAGUUUGUUCCAAUUCCAGUGAGGCAGUCUAUCUCAACUAAGCAAAUAAUAAAUUACAUUUUGUAAAA